UAGCCUUGACAUAUUAUAGAAUUUAGUAGAGAUACAGAAGUGCCUUCGGGAGCUAUAUUACAGGUGCUGCACGGCUGUCGUCAGCUCGUGUCGUGAGAUGUUGGGUUAAGUCCCGCAACGAGCGCAACCCUCGUCACUAGUUACUAACGGUUAGGCCGAGGACUCUAGUGAGACUGCCUUCGUAAGGAGGAGGAAGGUGAGGACGACGUCAAGUCAUCAUGGCCCUUACGGCUAGGGCAACACACGUGCUACAAUGGUUAGGACAAUGAGAAGCAAUAUCGCGAGGUGGAGCAAAUCUAUAAACCUAAUCUCAGUUCGGAUUGUAGUCUGCAACUCGACUACAUGAAGCUGGAAUCACUAGUAAUCGUAGAUCAGCUAUGCUACGGUGAAUACGUUCCGCGGGUCU
This 406-nucleotide ribosomal RNA is filed under the name uncultured bacterium. RNAcentral's name for it is "bacterial SSU rRNA". It matches the Rfam family "Bacterial small subunit ribosomal RNA", at positions 976 to 1381 of the family's 1533-position model. The record is from RNAcentral.